AGUGCUUUCAGCUAUUUCAUAUGGAAAUAGUAAUACAUUAACUCUCAGCCCAGAGGACUGUAAGUCUCUUGUUAUUGUGGCAUAUCUAUUAAAAGAAAAAAAAAAAAAAAAAGAGAGAGAGAGAGAGAGAGAGAGAGAGGGAAAGAAGGGAGUGAACACAGCUCCUUGGUGGUGCUCAUGAUAAAGCAUUCUCAGCUGGAUCUGACAUUCACCUUGGGAUAUGAAAUAUUGUAAAACCAGGCACAAACAAACAAAAACCCUCUUGCUCUGACAUCCUAACUCCACUUUCUCAAAUGUUUCAAAUUGAAAUGGCUUCAGUUGAAGAAAGAUGACUAUCGAGAACACCCACAUACACCACAGAUGGGGACGUUAAACUAGCAGUUUAUUUCUCAGAUCACCUCUCACAUUUAACUGUAUUCAAUAUAAUUUUAAUGAAAUUUGAACUAUUAAAAUGCAAUGAAAUUCAGUGUCUGAGGGAGAAAAUAUGCUCAUGUGUUUGUAAUUAGUACUUUUUUUUUUUUUUUUUUUUUUUUUUUUAAGUUUCUAAAACAAUGAAAAGAGGACUGGUUUUCACUUCAACAAAUUAAGAAUGUGGCCCUGUAUGGGAAAAUCCCAGAAUUAGGGGAAACAAAAAAAG
This 637-nucleotide long non-coding RNA is filed under the name Gallus gallus (chicken). RNAcentral's name for it is "lncRNA (ENSGALG00010006303.1)". The record is from RNAcentral. Lineage: Eukaryota; Metazoa; Chordata; Aves; Galliformes; Phasianidae.